AUUUGAAUAGCUCAGUGGUAGAGCAAUUGGACCAGAUCCAAUUUGUAGCAGGUUCGAUUCCUGUUUCAAAUC
Molecule: transfer RNA, 72 nt
Filed under: Snodgrassella alvi
Lineage: Bacteria; Pseudomonadati; Pseudomonadota; Betaproteobacteria; Neisseriales; Neisseriaceae
Rfam family: tRNA
About the family: Transfer RNA (tRNA) molecules are approximately 80 nucleotides in length.
Source: Rfam by way of RNAcentral